RNAcentral lists this long non-coding RNA (348 nucleotides) under Ananas comosus (pineapple). RNAcentral's name for it is "long non-coding RNA (ACOM_LNC000592)". The record is from RNAcentral. Lineage: Eukaryota; Viridiplantae; Streptophyta; Magnoliopsida; Poales; Bromeliaceae.
GAUUCUACGCAAUUUCCAAGUUUCACUUAAAGUGAAUAGUAACUCGGUUUUCCGGAGAAGUCACGGUGGGAAGUUGGCUUCUGGUAGGUAUCGGACACCGUUUAUAGCAGUCCAAUAGCUCGUUUCGACCGGUUCAACUGUUCUGGAACUAAUGGCGCUGACGGAUUUUGAGUUUGGCGCAUGAAUUUUGAGGAAAUCCGAAAAUACAUGUUUUAUAUGUAUUUGUGCAUAGUUUCUUCCGUUGGAGAGUUGGAAUGGAUUUCGUCGCGAAUCCGAGAGGGAUCGAGAUGAAACGAAAUCGUAGCUUUGUUGUCUCCGUCGUGCUGAUCGCACUGGUGCGAUCCGUUC